GUCAAUUUAUGACAAUCGUUGUCAAUUUAUGACGUGUAAAAAUUACUCUUCACCGAAAAUCUACAGUAAAAUGUCCCAGAAAAAUGAAGCAAAACAAAUUAAGGCCUUUCUUGACACGUUAGACAAUUUAGACAUUGAAGUGCACCAAAUUUUGGCUUCCAUCAAGACGGACGACAAAAGUAAGAAUGAGAGGUGUUACGAUUCCCAAGCAAGCCAAGUAGCGUUUGAACGGAAGCUCGAUAACGAAAAAGUUUCCCAAGAUGGAAAUAAAAGUAAAUAAAUGUUCAAAGAUUGUAGUUGUAAAACAUUGUUUUUAUUAUUAAAAAGUUCAUCUCGUAAACAAUA
Long non-coding RNA from Aethina tumida (small hive beetle), 345 nucleotides. RefSeq lists it as uncharacterized. The record is from RefSeq and is a predicted model, not a curated record. Lineage: Eukaryota; Metazoa; Arthropoda; Insecta; Coleoptera; Nitidulidae. The transcript is spliced from 2 exons.